AUUGAACGCUGGCGGCAGGCCUAACACAUGCAAGUCGAGCGGAUGAAGGGAGCUUGCUCCUGGAUUCAGCGGCGGACGGGUGAGUAAUGCCUAGCAAUCUGCCUGGUAGUGGGGGAUAACGCCCGGAAACGGGCGCUAAUACCGCAUACGUCCUGAGGGAGAAAGUGGGGGAUCUUCGGACCUCACGCUAUCAGAUGAGCCUAGGUCGGAUUAGCUAGUUGGUGGGGUAAAGGCCUACCAAGGCGACGAUCCGUAACUGGUCUGAGAGGAUGAUCAGUCACACUGGAACUGAGACACGGUCCAGACUCCUACGGGAGGCAGCAGUGGGGAAUAUUGGACAAAGGGCGAAAGCCUGAUCCAGCCAUGCCGCGUGUGUGAAGAAGGUCUUCGGAUUGUAAAGCACUUUAAGUUGGGAGGAAGGGCAGUAAGUUAAUACCUUGCUGUUUUGACGUUACCAACAGAAUAAGCACCGGCUAACUUCGUG
RNAcentral lists this ribosomal RNA (484 nucleotides) under uncultured bacterium. Its description in RNAcentral is "partial 16S ribosomal RNA". It matches the Rfam family "Bacterial small subunit ribosomal RNA", at positions 30 to 507 of the family's 1533-position model. The record is from RNAcentral.